RNAcentral lists this unclassified non-coding RNA (945 nucleotides) under uncultured Synechococcus sp. RNAcentral describes it as "partial contains 16S ribosomal RNA, 16S-23S ribosomal RNA intergenic spacer, and 23S ribosomal RNA". The stretch from base 1 to 118 matches the Rfam family "Bacterial small subunit ribosomal RNA", at positions 1417 to 1533 of the family's 1533-position model. The record is from RNAcentral. Lineage: Bacteria; Bacillati; Cyanobacteriota; Cyanophyceae; Synechococcales; Synechococcaceae.
ACGCCCGAAGUCGUUACUCCAACCCUUGUGGAGGAGGACGUCGAAGGUGGGGCUGAUGACUGGGGUGAAGUCGUAACAAGGUAGCCGUACCGGAAGGUGCGGCUGGAUCACCUCCUAACAGGGAGACAAACAACGAUUUUGAUGUCUGAGUGCUUUAUUCUCAGGCCGAAAUCCUGUCACCUUAGGUCGAUCGGUACCUCAGCAUUGAGAGCAAUGACUGAUGAGCAAUCAUCAGGAGAUUGAAGGAGAUGUUCAGUUCCUAAACUUUGUCUAGGUCACACCCCAAAAGGGAUGAGACUCCUGGGCCAUUAGCUCGGGUGGUUAGAGCGCACCCCUGAUAAGGGUGAGGUCCCUGGUUCAAGUCCAGGAUGGCCCAUUCGGUGUUGGGGGUUUAGCUCAGUUGGUAGAGCGCCUGCUUUGCAAGCAGGAUGUCAGGAGUUCGAGUCUCCUAACCUCCACUGACCGAACUGUAUCCCCAUCUCCACGAACUGGAGUAUGAGCUCGAUUGGCGUGUGAUUUAGAUGUGUCCGCUGGAUGACCCCAGCUUCCUGUCAUUCCAAAUGAAAGCAAAGGAAUUUGCUUGAAUUGUAUUUGGUUGAUAAGAUGCUGGGCUCGAAUCAGAUGAUCAAGCAAUUGGUUGUUUGGUUUGAAGUUCUAGCAGAACCUUGACAACUGCAUAGGUAAGUCUGGAAAACAAAGCAUCUUACAGAUGCAUUGUUUUGAGUCUGAUCUCUUGAAAGAGAGAUUGGAACCAGAACAAUGAAAAUUCUUUUGAGCAAGAGCCGAGACUCUUAAACGUUCUUUGAUUCGUGUCGAGCGGAUCAGAGUUUGAUCUUGUUUUUAGCAAUAAAAACUUGAGAAUCUGCUUACAACGGCGGUAAGCGUUUAGGAGGUUAAUUGGUCAAGCUACAAAGGGCUCACGGCGGAUACCUAGGCACACAGAGG